RNAcentral lists this long non-coding RNA (1469 nucleotides) under Equus caballus (horse). RNAcentral describes it as "lncRNA (ENSECAG00000054224.1)". Lineage: Eukaryota; Metazoa; Chordata; Mammalia; Perissodactyla; Equidae. The record is from RNAcentral.
GUCUCCUUAGUUUCCUCUGGUCUGUUAUAGUUUCUUAGUCUUUUUUUUUUUUUCCAUGGUCUUGAUAGUUUUGAGGAAUAUUGAUCAAGUGUUUUAUAGACUGUCCUUCAAUUUUGGAUUAUGUGAUUAUUUUUUUCAUGUUUAGACUGAGUUAUAGAUUUUUUGGAAAGAAUAUCACAGAGGUGAAGUGCCCGUCUCAUCACAUGAUAUUGGUGGGUACAUGGGAUCAAUAUAACUUAUCAUUGGUAAUAUUAACCUUGACCACCUGGCCAAGGCAGUGUUUGCAGGUUCCUCCACUGUAAAGUUAGUCCCCUACCCCCUUUCCAUCCUCUAUUCUUUGGAAGUUAGUCAUUAAGUCCAGCCCACACUCAAGGGGGAGGGGAACUAAGUUCUACCUCCUGAAGUGGGGAGUGUACCAUGUUAAGCUGAACAGUGUUCCCCCAAAGGUAUCUACAUUCUGAUCCCCUGUCAACGUUACCUUGUAUGGCAAAAGAGAUUUUUCAGAUGAGAUUAAAUUGAAGAUCUUGAAGAGAGAGAAUAUCCUGGAUUAUCCAGGUGUGCCCUAAAUAAUUACAAAGAUCCUUAUAAGAGGAAAGCAAGGUCAAAAGUGAAAGUGAUGUGACAAAGGAAGCAGAGGUUAGAGUGAUUUGGCCAGAAGCCAAUGAACAACAUAAAAGAGAGCAGAUAAGCAGAGAGAAGACAGGACAUGGUUUUAAAGCCAAAUUUUAAAUGAGGACACCAAAGUUUGAACAGAAUCCUCAAAUCCUGGCAAACAAGUAGUAAACUUGACAUAGAAGGGUAACUUUUUACUCAUCAUAUUGGCAAAAACUAUGAAAAGCAGUUAUAUCUAGGGAUGGUGAUGUGGGAAUAUAAACAACUGUUAUGAAUAUCAAUUAUCCUGAGGUCUAAGGAAAAUAAUCUGACAUCUUAAAAUUUUAAAUGUGUGCAUUGUUUGACUAUGCAAUCCUCCCUUUAGAAAUCCAUUUUAUAGAGAUAAAAACACAAGUUCAUAAAGAUAAAUGCAGAAGGAUGUAUAUUCCAGCAUUCAUUAUAUUAAUUAUAAUGCUGCCUCUUGUUUUAAAUUUGGUACAAAUAGGUGUUUAUGAGCUUCAUAAUUGCUUCUGGACAUUUAUUUUUCCCCAUAGCUAAUCUAUCAGCAAAUCUUAUCUCCUUUACCUCCAAAAUGUGUUUUAGAUCUGUACACUACUCUCUACCAACAUUAUUUUUCCUGGUCAAUAAACAUAGAUCAAUAUAUAAUAUCAGAAAUUAAAUAAUAUUCCUAGUUUUGGAUAUGCAAUUUACUUAAAUAUUCUAUCGUUUUAAGUAUUUUGCUAUUAUAAUAUGUACUAUCAAUUACAGUAGAGUGUUUAUGCUUAAUUUUAAAAAGGAUUGCAUAAAUAAAUGCUGAUAAACACAAGCCAUAUUUACAAUAACUUUUCCUACAAUCACUGGGUUAUUUUGAUUUUAAU